CAGCCGCCACGGUAAUACGAGGGGUACAAGCGUUAUUCGGAUUGAUUGGGUGUAAAGGGUGUGCAGACGGCUUAUUAAGUCACUUGUUAAAUUCUUCGGCCUAACUGAAGGUCUGCAAGUGAUACUGAUGAGCUAGAGGGUGGAAGAGAGAAGUGGAAUUCUCGGAGUAGCGGUAAAAUGCGUAGAUCUCGAGAGGAACACCAAUGGCGAAGGCAGCUUCUUGGUCCAUUCCUGACGUUCAUACACGAAAGCGUGGGGAGCAAACAGGAUUAGAUACCCCUGUAGUCCCUGUCUCUUAUAC
This 301-nucleotide ribosomal RNA is filed under the name uncultured bacterium. Its description in RNAcentral is "partial 16S ribosomal RNA". It matches the Rfam family "Bacterial small subunit ribosomal RNA", at positions 509 to 807 of the family's 1533-position model. The record is from RNAcentral.